AACAGUCAAGUCACCUUGACUAGUUAGUGCCAGAAGAUGCCCAACUUGCAAGUAAGGAGGCUUUCCUAUAGAGAUAGAGCUUAUCAACUGGUGAUCUUCACUGUAAGAUGAUUGAGUGAGAACCUGGCUAAUUCAUUGGGGACCCCAAAAUGACAUUAUCUAUGGGUCUUUUCUUUGAGAGCAGUUCCAGUCUCCUCAGAGAUGAAUUCUCCAGUUUCUUGCCUGGAAAAUAUAUACCUGACUGCUGGUGUUCUUGGAACCAAUGUUUUUGGAGUGUAGGAAAAGGGACCUUAUUGUAGACUUUCAUUUAGUGCCCCUAUUUUCAAUAGAAUGCCCAUUCCCUAUUUUUAACUCUAUCUGGGGCAUCUGGGUCUGGGGCUUCUGUGGAUCAAUUUAGUUUGAAUAAACUUCCAAUCUCCUGCCAGAGUAGGGAAAAGGUAUUUUCCUGGCUGAGCAGGUUGAGGGAGGAGAACUAAGAGUGGUCUAGCUGCUUUUCUCGCACACAUGCAACCAAAUCCUCUGCUUUUGGCCUCUUGACACACCCCUGCUUUCUUUGGUCACUGGUGUCUCUAAUUUCUGAGCUUCCCAGGCAUUCCACAGCAUGAAUUGUCUUGCUUCUCAUUUUGCAGCCCCCACUCUGCAGACAUUUGCUCUUCAGUCCCUUCAGCUCUGCUAACCUGCAUCUACUUUCUAUCUUCCAAAAACGUCUUGGCAUAUCUAGUCUUCUGCUGCCUUCAUUACCGUUCUCUCUGUCUUUGUGGGAUUUUACCCCUUAAAAAACUAAUUUCUCUUCAUUUUAGCAUAGUUUUAGAAGAGAUAAUAGAUAAACAUGUAUUUAAUGUCAUAUUUAAUUGGAAGUCCUCCAAUUGUAUUUAUUAAAAUGAAAAAUUCACAUGCUCCUUGACUUGGAAAUCUCACUUAUGAUAAUUUAACUGUCAGAAAUAAAAGUGCCAGUAUUGUAUAGGUAAGUUUACAAGAGUGUUUACUGCAAUAGUAAUAGCAACAAUCAGAGUGUCCGCUGAUAAGGAACAGUUAUGUAAAUUAUGGUGUAUUUAUACUAUGGACUACUCUCCAAUCAUUAAAAGGAAUAAGGCAUAUUGACUUGGAAAGCCAUCCAUGAUAUAUUGCUGAGUAAAAGAGAAGGCUAUAGUAACCCCAUGUUUGUGAAAGAAAGUGAACUAGUAUUAUAUGUUUAUAUGUUUGUAUACAUAAAGAAUAAAGUGUGUAAGGAGUCAUACUAGAUUUUUAACAGUGAUUACAUUGGGGGAUGGCUUUGGAUGGGGAGUGGAAGAAUAUAUCAAUUUAACUUUAGAAACUUUUUUAUUGUCUUUGAAGUGUUUCAGUUAACCUGUGUUGCUUUUGUUAUUCAAACGCCAAAAUAAACAUGCUUAAAAAAAGUUGUAGAUGCAAGAAUGUUCACUGCAGCAUUAUUUAUGAUGGUGAAAAAUUGGAAAAUAAUAUAAAUGUCUGACAAUAAAGACUGGUUAAUACAUUUGAAAUAUCUAUAUGGCAGAAUAUUAGGAGCCUAUUAUAAUGAUCUUUUAGACAAAUUUUAAUGUUGUGGUAAAAUGGUCAUGAAUAAUGCAAGGUGAGAAAAGUAGAAUACGAAAUCGUAUAUACUUUGUAAUUCCAAUGUUGUAAUUAAAAUGUAAUGC
Molecule: long non-coding RNA, 1655 nt
Filed under: Equus asinus (donkey)
Lineage: Eukaryota; Metazoa; Chordata; Mammalia; Perissodactyla; Equidae
Description: lncRNA (ENSEASG00005032383.1)
Source: RNAcentral